Long non-coding RNA from Daphnia magna, 2669 nucleotides. RefSeq lists it as uncharacterized. The transcript has 3 exons. NCBI's taxonomy places the organism in Eukaryota, Metazoa, Arthropoda, Branchiopoda, Diplostraca, Daphniidae. The record is from RefSeq and is a predicted model, not a curated record.
AAAUGUUGGGACAUCCGACGUGUUUGGCCAACAGAUGGAGAUCUAGCUGUCCGAAAAUCCUAUGAUGAAUCCAAUUUUUACUUUUCGAACGUUUACCUUUGAGUUUGUCAAGAAAAGAAAAGACAAUUUACAAUGACGAGGUCUGCAUCCGCUGUAUUAUUUAGUCCACACGCAACGACGUUACCGCUAAUGUUGUUGUUUGUGAAAAAGGACGUGGCAACCGAUCUCAGUUGAAAACAAAAGUAAGGGAAAGUAAAAAAAAAAGGGAAUUCGACGUAACGCCUCGUAGUCCUCAGUUACUUACGCAUGUAACAUCUGCCAGACUGAACGAUGAACGAAUAGAAACUGGGUCAAGGCUGGCUGACCAAAUCGAAAUGUGACAGUAAUGUUCAACAACAGCACUCGCAGCCUUCCCACCACCAGAAUUUACAAAGAGGCAGCAGUCAGUUCAAAGCCUGGGGAGUGGGGCACACCACUUUUCCUUUUGCGCGCUUUCUCCCCGAAGCAUGGAACAGACCUAUUUAACUCUGAAAAAGGCUCUCCAUGAUCAAGCAGCCCCUCUUCUUUAAGUACCUGUUGAAAUUUCACUUUCACUUUCGGUUUCAAGCGGCACCAAAAGAAGGAAAAAAAAACAACAAAAUACGUGCUUUUCAAGAACUCCUUUCCCACAGUAUUGACUUGGAGGAAGAAAUUAAUUCACGUCACCUUCGUUGGCAAGGCCAACAACUGGUAAUUAAUUGUGUGUGUGAUUACUGAAGCAGUUUGUGAAAACGGAUUUCCGACGCAUGAAAACGUAUGUGCAACGCAACAAAUAGCAAAUCAACCACCUUCAAAAUAAUAACAAGAAACAUUACCGACAUCAGGACGACUGCAAACGUGUUGACUUUUGAUGAUGGACACUUGUUGAUACCAAAACACCGAACGGCAAUAAGCAAAGAUGAAAAAAAUUAAUAAGAAACAACGUAAGACUUUUGAUGCCAUUGCAAAACUCUGAUCACAUAACACUGUCGGCUAUCACAUUACAUGAUCUACAAUCGCCAACACAUGGGUUUGUUAUCGAAGCCGGGAGAAGAUUAGCAGAAGUGGAAAAGUUCGCACGCGAAAGCGAACCCAGUUGCCACAGUCGUUGAUCACUGACAACAAACGACACUUCUUUUUUAGAAGGAACACACCACGAUAGUAACGUAGGGUACGAGAGCUGAAACGGUAAUGUAAGAGGAUAGACGGGCCACGGGCUAUGAGAACACAAGUGAAAGUUUUCUCUCUCUCUCUAUACCAAGGCUCUAUACUAACCAGUCUCGACCUCGAUUUCUUUACAUUUUUUUUUCGGUUUUGUGCUAGGGUAGAAUUCUAUCUUUGUCUCUUUCCGAAUAGGUUGAAGACGAUGAUCGUCGCCGCCACCUGGAUUUAUACUUGGAUGAUUACUGAACCUAUUCCGUCUCAUGCCAUGCUUCUUCUUCCUUGUUUUGUUCUGAAAAAAUACCCUUUAGCUCUUCGUCGAGACCCUUUGGCCAUAGCAGGUAAAUUCUCUUUGUUUGCCUUCUAUCGGAAUGCGUCAGGAGAUGUGAUGGCCACAUAAAAUCACAAGACACGAAAUGUCCUUAAAGAGGACAUUCACCACCAAGAAACAAUCAACAUGAUUGGCGCAAGACCUUGUCCCUGCGGAACAAGUCGAAUUGACCUCGGAUAAGCGCAUCAUACCUGAUGUUCUAAACGCGAUUUCACAUAAUGGAGGAGACAAAAAAAAUUAAGCAUUUUUUUUUCGUCUAGUCCCGAAAAACGAAUGUUCGCUCAGAGUGAAAUCCAGUGAAGAACGUAGCCGUGCGCGUACAACGGAUCAGCAAUUCGGCUUUUCUAAAAUAUCUCACAUAUGUCGGGAUCUUUCUUCAAGAAGACGCUUACCUUUCUCUACGUAGAUCUCCGUUAUCGGUUCAUUUCGUAUUCAAGGUUAUGAACGUGCAGUGGAGGAAUGCUGCGUAGAUAGAAAAAUGGAAAAAAAAAAACAUUUCGCUGGCAUAAGAAAAGGCUACUUAAAAAGGAAUGAAAAUUUAGUUUGACGUAUCCCAGAGCACUGUUGAAAACUCUAGUAGAAUAAACUAAUAAACUCGUUUGGUGAGAUACAAACGCGUAGGGCAAAAGUGAGACGUGGUUUUGUUUGUGAUUUUAUCCUUUUUGCUCAUGGCAAACAAAACUAAGAUGAAAAGUGAUGCAACAAGUAACUUGUACGAUCAGACCACCAAGUUCUUCUUGGUGAGAAUAUCUAAUUCCAGUAAUGCAUUUACAGUGUAGCUGUACGUUAGAAGGAGGUCUUUAAUGUACUGGGGCACUUUAACAAUGGCGCAACGAUUCAAAAAGCUUUUGAUCGUAAUUUUCGAGACGUUUAAACAAAUUGUGUAAAAGGGAAUAAGGAAUAUGUUGUCAGACGGUCAACUAAGAUUACUUCGUUCACUGGUGGAUGUAGAAAUAAAAUCUAGUGAACCUAAAAUGAUGAGAUCGAGAACUGAACGUUAUCUGUGCAUGUGGAAAAAUAUAAAAUAUUAGGGAUACAUUUCGAGGAUACAAAGUUUUUGAGAAAUUCGCAUUUAAUAGAGAUUGUGUCAUGGGCAUAUUUAAUUGAUUUACACCAUGCUUUUUAAAGUCGUGCCUAAGUAAACCACUUGAUGUAAGAU